UAAGGAAUAUUGGUCAAUGGACGCAAGUCUGAACCAGCCAUGCCGCGUGAAGGAUGAAGGUCCUCUGGAUUGUAAACUUCUUUUAUAUGGGAAGAAACCCACGGUUUCUACUGUGGUUGACGGUACCAUUUGAAUAAGCACCGGCUAACUCCGUGCCAGCAGCCGCGGUAAUACGGAGGGUGCAAGCGUUAUCCGGAUUCACUGGGUUUAAAGGGUGCGUAGGUGGGCAGGUAAGUCAGUGGUGAAAUCUCCGGGCUUAACCCGGAAACUGCCAUUGAUACUAUUUGUCUUGAAUAUCGUGGAGGUGAGCGGAAUAUGUCAUGUAGCGGUGAAAUGCUUAGAUAUGACAUAGAACACCCAUUGCGAAGGCAGCUCACUACACGAUUAUUGACGCUGAGGCACGAAAGCGUGGGGAGCAAACAGGAUUAGAUACCCCGGUAGUCC
This 444-nucleotide ribosomal RNA is filed under the name uncultured bacterium. Its description in RNAcentral is "bacterial SSU rRNA". It matches the Rfam family "Bacterial small subunit ribosomal RNA", at positions 355 to 796 of the family's 1533-position model. The record is from RNAcentral.